This 446-nucleotide ribosomal RNA is filed under the name uncultured bacterium. Its description in RNAcentral is "partial 16S ribosomal RNA". It matches the Rfam family "Bacterial small subunit ribosomal RNA", at positions 338 to 795 of the family's 1533-position model. The record is from RNAcentral.
CCUACGGUAGGCUUCAGUCGAGAAUCAUUCACCAUGGGGGAAACCCUGAUGGUGCGACGCCGCGUGGGGGAAUGAAGGUCUUCGGAUUGUAAACCCCUGUCAUGUGGGAGCAAAUUAAAAAGAUAGUACCACAAGAGGAAGAGACGGCUAACUCUGUGCCAGCAGCCGCGGUAAUACAGAGGUCUCAAGCGUUGUUCGGAAUCACUGGGCGUAAAGCGUGCGUAGGCUGUUUCGUAAGUCGUGUGUGAAAGGCGCGGGCUCAACCCGCGGACGGCACAUGAUACUGCGAGACUAGAGUAAUGGAGGGGGAACCGGAAUUCUCGGUGUAGCAGUGAAAUGCGUAGAUAUCGAGAGGAACACUCGUGGCGAAGGCGGGUUCCUGGACAUUAACUGACGCUGAGGCACGAAGGCCAGGGGAGCGAAAGGGAUUAGAUACCCGGGUAGUC